AGUGGCGGACGGGUGAGUAACACGUAAGAAUUUGCCUUUAGGAGGGGGACAACAACUGGAAACGGUUGCUAAUACCCCAUAUGCUUUCGAGUGAAACGGAUUUCUCCGCCUAAAGAGAAGCUUGCGGCUGAUUAGCUUGUUGGUGAGGUAAUGGCUCACCAAGGCGACGAUCAGUAUCUGGUUUGAGAGGACGAUCAGACACACUGGAACUGAGACACGGUCCAGACUCCUACGGGAGGCAGCAGUGGGGAAUUUUCCGCAAUGGGCGAAAGCCUGACGGAGCAAUACCGCGUGAGGGAUGACGGCCUAUGGGUUGUAAACCUCUUUUUUCAGGGAGGAAUCAAAUGACGUGUACCUGAAGAAUAAGCAUCGGCUAACUCCGUGCCAGCAGCCGCGGUAAGACGGGGGAUGCAAGUGUUAUCCGGAAUCACUGGGCGUAAAGCGUCUGUAGGUGGUCAAAUAAGUCAACUGUUAAAUCUUGAGGCUCAACCUCAAAAUCGCAGUCGAAACUAUUAGACUAGAGUAUAGUAGGGGUAAAGGGAAUUUCCAGUGGAGCGGUGAAAUGCGUAGAGAUUGGAAAGAACACCGAUGGCGAAGGCACUUUACUGGGCUAUUACUAACACUCAGAGACGAAAGCUAGGGUAGCAAAUGGGAUUAGAUACCCCAGUAGUCCUAGCCGUAAACAAUGGAUACUAGAUGU
RNAcentral lists this ribosomal RNA (700 nucleotides) under uncultured bacterium. RNAcentral's name for it is "bacterial SSU rRNA". It matches the Rfam family "Bacterial small subunit ribosomal RNA", at positions 94 to 823 of the family's 1533-position model. The record is from RNAcentral.